GGACUACCGGGGUAUCUAAUCCUGUUCGCUCCCCACACUUUCGCUCCUCAGCGUCAGGACAUGCCCAGAGAACCGCCUUCGCCACCGGUGUUCCUCCUGAUAUCUGCGCAUUUCACCGCUACACCAGGAAUUCCGUUCUCCCCUGCAUACCUCCAGUCUGCCCGUAUCGAAAGCAAGCCACCAGUUAAGCCAGUGGAUUUCACUCCCGACGCGACAAACCGCCUACGAGCCCUUUACGCCCAAUAAUUCCGGACAACGCUCGCACCCUACGUAUUACCGCGGCUGCUGGCAC
Molecule: ribosomal RNA, 292 nt
Filed under: uncultured bacterium
Lineage: Bacteria
Description: partial 16S ribosomal RNA
Source: RNAcentral